RNAcentral lists this ribosomal RNA (460 nucleotides) under uncultured bacterium. RNAcentral's name for it is "partial 16S ribosomal RNA". It matches the Rfam family "Bacterial small subunit ribosomal RNA", at positions 338 to 795 of the family's 1533-position model. The record is from RNAcentral.
CCUACGGGCGGCAGCAGUGAGGAAUAUUGGGCAAUGGGCGCGAGCCUGAACCAGCCAAGUAGCGUGAAUGAUGACUGCCCUACGGGUUGUAAACUUCUUUUAUAAAGGAAUAAAGUGAGGCACGUGUGCCUUUUUGUAUGUACGUUAUGAAUAAGGAUCGGCUAAAUCCUUGCCAGCAGCCCCGGUAAUACGGAGGGUCCGAGCGUUAUCCGGAUUUAUUGGGUUUAAAGGGAGCGUAGAUGGGUUGUUAAGUCAGUUGUGAAAGUUUGCGGCUCAACCGUAAAAUUGCAAUUGAUACUGGCAGCCUUGAGUACAGUUGAGGGAGGCGGAAUUCGUGGUGUAGCGGUGAAAUGCUUAGAUAUCACGAAGAACUCCGAUUGCGAAGGCAGCUUUCUAGACUGCCACUGACAUUGAUGCUCGAAAGUGUGGGUAUCAAACAGGAUUAGAUACCCUAGUAGUC